GUUAAGGUCUUCAGUAGGUAGACUGCGGAAGGAUAUUA
Molecule: ribosomal RNA, 38 nt
Filed under: Amanita flavipes
Lineage: Eukaryota; Fungi; Basidiomycota; Agaricomycetes; Agaricales; Amanitaceae
Description: partial 18S ribosomal RNA
Source: RNAcentral